Podarcis raffonei (Aeolian wall lizard) is the source of this 148-nucleotide small nuclear RNA. RefSeq annotates it as U4 spliceosomal RNA. NCBI's taxonomy places the organism in Eukaryota, Metazoa, Chordata, Lepidosauria, Squamata, Lacertidae. The record is from RefSeq and is a predicted model, not a curated record. The transcript has a single exon.
AGCUUUGUGCAACGGCUGCAUCGUAGCCAACAAGGUUAAUCUGAGGUGCGGUUACUGCUAAUUGAAAAUUUGUUUUAUAUGAUUUAUGCUGUACUUGUGAUUUUCUAUUACGUUCUUAUUAUUUAUUGUUUGGGAUUCAUUUGAAUGA